CCUACGGGUGGCAGCAGUGGGGAAUAUUGGUCAAUGGACGCAAGUCUGACCCAGCAACGCCGCGUGAAGGAAGAAGGCUUUCGGGGUGUAAACUUCUUUUAAGGGGGAAGAGCAGAAGACGGUACCCCUUGACUAAGCCACGGCAAACUCCGUGCCAGCAGCCGCGGUAAUACGUAGGUUGCAAGUGUUGUCCGGAUUUACUGGGUGUAAAGGGCGUGCAGCCGGGAAAACCAGUCAGAUGUGAAAUCCCGCGGCUCAACCGCGGAACUGCAUUUGACACUGGCUUUCUUGAGUAUAGGAGAGGUGGGCGGAAUUCGUGGUGUAGCGGUGAAAUGCUUAGAUAUCACGAAGAACCCCGAUUGCGAAGGCAGUUCACUGGACUGCAACUGACACUGAGGCUCGAAAGUGUGGGUAUCAAACAGGAUUAGAUACCCGAGUAGUC
RNAcentral lists this ribosomal RNA (442 nucleotides) under uncultured bacterium. RNAcentral describes it as "partial 16S ribosomal RNA". It matches the Rfam family "Bacterial small subunit ribosomal RNA", at positions 338 to 795 of the family's 1533-position model. The record is from RNAcentral.